UCAAGCUUAUUUACAUUGGUGUAAGUAUUUAUUUACAAUAAUUAUAUGUUGUUCGAUUCAACUUUGUUUGAA
This 72-nucleotide transfer RNA is filed under the name Cerynia lineola. RNAcentral's name for it is "tRNA-Val". Lineage: Eukaryota; Metazoa; Arthropoda; Insecta; Hemiptera; Flatidae. The record is from RNAcentral.